RNAcentral lists this ribosomal RNA (504 nucleotides) under Crepidula cf. aplysioides RC. RNAcentral's name for it is "partial 16S ribosomal RNA". Lineage: Eukaryota; Metazoa; Mollusca; Gastropoda; Littorinimorpha; Calyptraeidae. The record is from RNAcentral.
AGAAUUUUAAUGGUCGAACAGACCAACCCUUAAAGACUUCUGCACCUUUAGGAUAUUCUGGUCCAACAUCGAGGUCACAAACCUUUUUUUCGAUUAGAGCUCUUAAAAAAGAUAAUGCUGUUAUCCCUACGGUAACUAAUUCCAUUAAUCAUAAUUUUUGGAUCAACACAAGAAAGUUUUUUAUUUUAAAGAAGCUUUUUUUGUUCCUUAGUCGCCCCAACCAAAAUUUUUAAUAAUUUUUUUUUACGAAGUAUAAAUAAACUUUAUUAAUUUUUUUAAAGCUCGAUAGGGUCUUCUUGUCUUUUAAUUUUAUAUAGAUCUCUUCAUCUAUAAGUAAAGUUCUAUUUAAUUAGAAAGAGACAGCUUUGCUCUUGUGAGACCAUUCAUACCAGUCCUCAAUUAUAGGACAAAUUAUUAUGCUACCUUAGCACAGUUAAGAUACUGCGGCCGUUAAAUAAAAUCACUGGGCAGGCCGGACUCUUUAUAAAAAUUAAUCAAAGAGCC